RNAcentral lists this ribosomal RNA (222 nucleotides) under Galago gallarum (Somali galago). RNAcentral's name for it is "partial 16S ribosomal RNA". The record is from RNAcentral. Lineage: Eukaryota; Metazoa; Chordata; Mammalia; Primates; Galagidae.
CCCUAUGGAGCUUAAAUUUAACGCCCAUGUUCCACUCUACAACUCCCAGGAGCUCAAUACCCCAACAUUUGGGUGAACAAUUUUGGUUGGGGUGACCUCGGAGCACAAAACAACCUCCGAGCAUUAUUUACCUAGACUUCACCAGUCAAAGUACAUAAAUAUCAUAUUCAUUGACCCAAACAAUUGAUCAACGAAACAAGUUACCCUAGGGAUAACAGCGCA